Molecule: long non-coding RNA, 802 nt
Filed under: Bos taurus (domestic cattle)
Lineage: Eukaryota; Metazoa; Chordata; Mammalia; Artiodactyla; Bovidae
Description: long non-coding RNA NONBTAT019846
Source: RNAcentral
GGCUAACAUCUAGAGAUUUCAGUGUAAUAUAUUUUUGCCAUCUUAGUGCCUAUAGAAGCUAGAAAUACGCUGUUUUGCUGUUAGUUGACAGAUCAAAUAUUUUGUUGACCGAGACAAUGAUUAGAUCGAGAAUCCAGGUCAAACCAUAACAGAUACUAAUAAUAGUAGUAAAUUGCUCCCAGCCCCAACACUAUGUGGAACCUAGAGGAAUAAAGCAGACAUUAUAAAUAUAAACAUUUAUCAACAUCUCCAAAUGAUUAUUUUCAUCUUAAUAACUUGCUUGAAAUCACUGUCAUCUGAUGGCGUUGUUUAAAGAACAACUCAAACGUUUUCUUCUAACACAGCUUUUUUUUUUAAAUUUCAACUCUCGAGUUUUAAUUUUCACCUAUCAGAUCCUUUUCCUAAAGAAAUUUGAGGGCAAGUUAAAAUUAUAUCCUGUCCUACCAGGCCCUUAUUUAUAUAUGCAACAGAGAAACUUUCCCAGGUUCAAUUGAUUGGGGCGCAGGCAGAAGGCAUCUGGGUGCAGCCCCCAUUCAGUGGGCAGCAGCUGAUUUCAGGGAUGCACCAUAGUCUCUGGGGAGGCCAAUCAGAGCCCAGUCUUUUCUCAAAUUUUUUUCCUUGGUGGAAGUGAGGGGAAAAAAUUGAAAAGCAAGAAAGAGAUUAAGGAAGUCGUUGCCAGAUUCCUAGGGGGCCCUUACCACCCCCCCAAGUUCUGAACCCCAUCGGCCUGCAUUCACCAGUUUUACAGAUCUUAUAAACACCCUCCGGAAAUUCAACUAAAUCAUAUAAAUAAGUCUUUCUU